GACGUAGGGCGCGAGCGUUGUCCGGAUUUAUUGGGCGUAAAGAGCUCGUAGGCGGUCUGUCACGUCGGUCGUGAAAACUUGGGGCUUAACCCUGAGCUUGCGGUCGAUACGGGCAUGACUGGAGUUCGGCAGGGGAGACUGGAAUUCCUGGUGUAGCGGUGAAAUGCGCAGAUAUCAGGAGGAACACCGGUGGCGAAGGCGGCAUCCUGGACCAACACUGACGCUGAGGAGCGAAAGCCAGGGGAGCAAACGGG
Molecule: ribosomal RNA, 254 nt
Filed under: uncultured bacterium
Lineage: Bacteria
Description: partial 16S ribosomal RNA
Rfam family: Bacterial small subunit ribosomal RNA
Source: RNAcentral